CCCCGGUUUAAGCGUGUAGGCUGGUUUUCCAGGCAAAUCCGGAAAAUCAAGGCUGAGGCGUGAUGACAAGGCACUACGGUGCUGAAGCAACAAAUGCCCUGCUUCCAGGAAAAGCCUCUAAGCAUCAGGUAACAUCAAAUCGUACCCCAAACCGACACAGGUGGUCAGGUAGAGAAUACCAAGGCGCUUGAGAGAACUCGGGUGAAGGAACUAGGCAAAAUGGUGCCGUAACUUCGGGAGAAGGCACGCUGAUAUGUAGGUGAGGUCCCUCGCGGAUGGAGCUGAAAUCAGUCGAAGAUACCAGCAGGCUGCAACUGUUUAUUAAAAACACAGCACUGUGCAAACACGAAAGUGGACGUAUACGGUGUGACGCCUCCCCGGUGCCGGAAGGUUAAUUGAUGGGGUUAGCGCAAGCGAAGCUCUUGAUCGAAGCCCCGGUAAACGGCGGCCGUAACGAUAACGGUCCUAAGGUAGCGAAAUUCCUUGUCGGGUAAGUUCCGACCUGCACGAAUGGCGUAAUGAUGGCCAGGCUGUCUCCACCCGAGACUCAGUGAAAUUGAACUCGCUGUGAAGAUGCAGUGUACCCGCGGCAAGACGGAAAGACCCCGUGAACCUUUACUAUAGCUUGACACUGACCAUUGAGCCUUGAUGUGUAGGAUAGGUGGGAGGCUUUGAAGUGUGGACGCCAGUCUGCAUGGAGCCGACCUUGAAAUACCACCCUUUAAUGUUUGAUGUUCUAACGUUGACCCGUAAUCCGGGUUGCGGACAGUGUCUGGUGGGUAGUUUGACUGGGGCGGUCUCCUCCUAAAGAGUAACGGAGGAGCACGAAGGUUGGCUAAUCCUGGUCGGACAUCAGGAGGUUAGUGCAAUGGCAUAAGCCAGCUUGACUGCGAGCGUGACGGCGCGAGCAGGUGCGAAAGCAGGUCAUAGUGAUCCGGUGGUUCUGAAUGGAAGGGCCAUCGCUCAACGGAUAAAAGGUACUCCGGGAUAACAGGCUGAUACCGCCCAAGAGUUCAUAUCGACGGCGGUGUUUGGCACCUCGAUGUCGGCUCAUCACAUCCUGGGGCUGAAGUAGGUCCCAAGGGUAUGGCUGUUCGCCAUUUAAAGUGGUACGCGAGCUGGGUUUAGAACGUCGUGAGACAGUUCGGUCCCUAUCUGCCGUGGGCGCUGGAGAACUGAGGGGGGCUGCACCUAGUACGAGAGGACCGGAGUGGACGCAUCACUGGUGUUCGGGUUGUCAUGCCAAUGGCACUGCCCGGUAGCUAAAUGCGGAAGAGAUAAGUGCUGAAAGCAUCUAAGCACGAAACUUGCCCCGAGAUGAGUUCUCCCUGACCCUUUAAGGGUCCUGAAGGAACGUUGAAGACGACGACGUUGAUAGGCCGGGUGUGUAAGCGCAGCGAUGCGUUGAGCUAACCGGUACUAAUGAACCGUGAGGCUUAACCUA
RNAcentral lists this ribosomal RNA (1444 nucleotides) under metagenome. RNAcentral describes it as "bacterial LSU rRNA". It matches the Rfam family "Bacterial large subunit ribosomal RNA", at positions 1505 to 2925 of the family's 2925-position model. The record is from RNAcentral.